AAGUUUAGGUUAAACAAACCAGAGGCCUUCAAAACCCCAAAUAAGAGUCAACUAGCCCUCUUAACUUCU
This 69-nucleotide transfer RNA is filed under the name Cyrtodactylus sp. RNAcentral describes it as "tRNA-Trp". Lineage: Eukaryota; Metazoa; Chordata; Lepidosauria; Squamata; Gekkonidae. RNAcentral also lists the same sequence under 3 other names. The record is from RNAcentral.